RNAcentral lists this ribosomal RNA (292 nucleotides) under uncultured bacterium. RNAcentral describes it as "partial 16S ribosomal RNA". It matches the Rfam family "Bacterial small subunit ribosomal RNA", at positions 505 to 796 of the family's 1533-position model. The record is from RNAcentral.
GUGUCAGCCGCCGCGGUAAGACGAGGUGCACAAACGUUAUUCGGAUUUACUGGGCUUAAAGCGUGCGUAGGCGGCCUGGCAAGUUGGGUGUGAAAUCCCUCGGCUCAACCGAGGAAUUGCGCCCAAAACUGCUGGGCUGGAGUGAGACAGAGGUGAGCGGAACUGAUGGUGGAGCGGUGAAAUGCGUUGAUAUCAUCAGGAACACCGGUGGCGAAGGCGGCUCACUGGGUCUCUACUGACGCUGAGGCACGAAAGCUAGGGGAGCAAACGGGAUUAGAUACCCUCGUAGUCC